RNAcentral lists this microRNA precursor (138 nucleotides) under Gossypium arboreum. RNAcentral's name for it is "MIR7502 microRNA precursor family". It matches the Rfam family "MIR7502 microRNA precursor family". The record is from Rfam by way of RNAcentral. Lineage: Eukaryota; Viridiplantae; Streptophyta; Magnoliopsida; Malvales; Malvaceae.
UGUUAAAAGUUUCAUCCGUUAGUACUGGUUAAAACUGUUGCGGUUGAGAGAAUGUUUGACAUGUGACGUGCCACGGGUAUCUCAUGCUAAUGUACAGGGACCAAUUUUAACAACAAAAAAUGGAUGAAACUUUUAACA